RNAcentral lists this small RNA (99 nucleotides) under Arabidopsis thaliana (thale cress). RNAcentral's name for it is "ATSL265120". Lineage: Eukaryota; Viridiplantae; Streptophyta; Magnoliopsida; Brassicales; Brassicaceae. The record is from RNAcentral.
AGCAAAUGGUUCCAAGAGUCUUCAAAAAUGAUAAAUAUGAUUGCAUUGCAUGAACUAAUGGAUGCGAUCAUACUAGCACUAAUGCAUCGGAUCCCAUCA